This 490-nucleotide ribosomal RNA is filed under the name uncultured bacterium. RNAcentral's name for it is "partial 16S ribosomal RNA". It matches the Rfam family "Bacterial small subunit ribosomal RNA", at positions 29 to 507 of the family's 1533-position model. The record is from RNAcentral.
AGUGAACGCUGGCGGUAGGCCUAACACAUGCAAGUCGAACGGCAGCACAGUAAGAGCUUGCUCUUACGGGUGGCGAGUGGCGGACGGGUGAGGAAUACAUCGGAAUCUACUUUUUCGUGGGGGAUAACGUAGGGAAACUUACGCUAAUACCGCAUACGACCUACGGGUGAAAGCAGGGGAUCUUCGGACCUUGCGCGAUUGAAUGAGCCGAUGUCGGAUUAGCUAGUUGGCGGGGUAAAGGCCCACCAAGGCGACGAUCCGUAGCUGGUCUGAGAGGAUGAUCAGCCACACUGGAACUGAGACACGGUCCAGACUCCUACGGGAGGCAGCAGUGGGGAAUAUUGGACGAUGGGCGCAAGCCUGAUCCAGCCAUACCGCGUGGGUGAAGAAGGCCUUCGGGUUGUAGCCCUUUUGUUGGGAAAGAAAAGCAGCAGGUUAAUACCCCGCUGUUCUGACGGUACCCAAAGAAUAAGCACCGGCUAACUUCGUG